GAUGAACGCUGGCGGCGUGCCUAAUACAUGCAAGUCGAGCGAACAGACGAGGAGCUUGCUCCUCUGACGUUAGCGGCGGACGGGUGAGUAACACGUGGAUAACCUACCUAUAAGACUGGGAUAACUUCGGGAAACCGGAGCUAAUACCGGAUAAUAUAUUGAACCGCAUGGUUCAAUAGUGAAAGACGGUUUUGCUGUCACUUAUAGAUGGAUCCGCGCCGCAUUAGCUAGUUGGUAAGGUAACGGCUUACCAAGGCAACUAUGCGUAGCCGACCUGAGAGAGUGAUCGGCCACACUGGAACUGAGACACGGUCCAUACGCCUACGAGAGGGAGCAGUAGGGAAUCGUCCGCAAUGGGCGAGAGCCUUACGGAGUAACGGCGCGUGAGUGAUGAAGGCCUUCGGAUCGUAAAGCUCUGUUAUUAGUGAAGAACAAAUGUGUAAGUAACUAUGGACGUCUUGACGGUACCUAAUCAGAAAGCCACGGCUAACUACGUG
This 497-nucleotide ribosomal RNA is filed under the name uncultured bacterium. RNAcentral's name for it is "partial 16S ribosomal RNA". It matches the Rfam family "Bacterial small subunit ribosomal RNA", at positions 28 to 507 of the family's 1533-position model. The record is from RNAcentral.